CAGUUGUUCAUUGUCAUGGAGGAAAUCAGGUGCAACCAACAAGACCAAGAAAUAAAGAGAUCAAAACUGUCUAAGGUAGUGUCUUAACUAGGCAUCCUUUUUCCUGGAGCAAACUCCAAUGCUAUGGAAAGGCUGCUUUUCACAUUCUGCUCAGAAUGAUUGCCACAACAUUCGCUGCACUCAAAUCAACUUCUGGUGGGUCUCUACUCGCAUCUACCCAUUCCAGUGUAGCCCCAACAGCAACUUCUGCUUCCAUAGUCAUUCUCCACAUCCUGGUACCAUUUGCUUCAUCCAGGAAGUAGCCCUGACCAAGAUGGGGCCCAUGUGAGGGGAAGGGAGAAGAAGGAGGCAGAUGAUCCCUAGUGGAAGCUAGGAGCCAAUGGAAGGGGCACCAGGGCUCUCAGGGAAGAUGAGAAAAUUAAGUCCCUGCUGGGAAUAUUUGGGGGGGGAAAAAACCCUAUUUUGUAAGGCUAAUUGAUCCCAGAUCUGGAACCUUUCCCAAGACAUCCAUCCUUUCAUAACAACCAGGUUGUUCCUCAAAGGCCCUUGGCAGACAGACCUUCAUAUGUCUUAGAAUGUUUGAAAAGGCGCAAAAUGACCCAAAUGACUAAUGUUCAAUCUCAGUAUCUUCUUCUACUUCCUCCAACCCAUAUCCAUACCAAACUGACUUUAUGGGCCAUCAACCUACUGAAAGGGAAGUCCUAUUGAUUGCUUAAAAUAUCUGUUCUAGGAGUUCCCACUCAGUGGCUCAGUGGUAACAAACCCAAUUAGUUAGUACCCAUGAGGACUUGGGUUCGAUCUCUGGCCUUGCUCUCUGGGUUAAGGAUCCAGCAUUGCCAUGAGCUGUGCUGUAGGUCACAGAUGUGACUAGGAGCCCGAGUUGCUAUGGCUGUGGCAUAGGCCAGCAGCUGCAGCUCUGAUUCGACCCCUAGCCUGGGAACUUCCACAUGCUGUGGGCACAGCCCCGAAAAGAAAAAAAAAAAAAAAAAAUUCUGUUCUAGGUGUUUACAAUAGCCAUAGUAAUGGCCCCCCCAAAGACAUCCAUAUUUUAAUCCCUGGAACCUUUAAAUACAUUACCUUAAAUGGCAAAAGGGCCUUUGCAGAUGUCAUUAAGAUUACUUGACUUUGAGUUAGAGGAAUUAUCCUGGAUUAUCUGGGUGGGCCCAAUCUAAUUACUUGAGUACUUUUUCACCCAUGGCAUGUGGAAGAUCCUGGGUCAGAGAUUGAACUUGCACCACAGCUGCUACCUGCACCACAGGGGCAGCAAUGCUGUAUCCUUAACCUGCUGUAUCACAUAGGGACUUUCUAAUCACACGAGUUCUUAAAAGUAGAGAAAACUUUCCUAGCUAUGAUCAGAGAACCAGAGAAAUAGCAGCAUAAGGACUCAAUCUCCUUCAAAAAUUGCUGUUUUUGAAGAUGGAGGAUGGAAGUCAUAAGGCAGGGAAUGUGGUCAGACUCUGGAACUUGGAAAAGGCAAGGACAUGGGUUCCCUCUUAGAAUUUCUAGAAAUCAUUGUAGCUUUGCCAACACCUUGAUUUUAGCCCUGUGAGACCCAUGUCAGACUUCUGACCUAAAGAACUGAAGAUAAUAAAUCUAUAUUGUUUAAGCCUCUAAGGUAAUUUUGUGGUCAUUUGUUAUGGCAGCAAUGAAAAACUUAUAGUCUUCAUCACCUCAAGCUUGGAUCAGCACAAUACAAAAUUUUCCAAUUUACCCAGCUUCUCAGGUCUCUGGGUCAUCUUAGAAACCCUUACUUACCAAACUCUUGUCAACCGUCACUCUACUCAUUCAACUUCUCUGUUCAAGAGAGCCUACAAAUGGAAAUAUUUUCAAACCAAGCUCCUUCAAACAUCAGAACUUCUGGAACUGCCAAAGUUCGAGACGGAAAGUUAGUGAAUUCUGCUGAAGAUGACCUGAAAAGAUUCCUUGAGAGACUGGUCAACAGAAAUUUCCAGGAGCUUCUUCACCAAACAUGGUUAACAAUAGGAAUACUCAGGUUGGUCUAUAAAGUCUUGCAGUAUUUACCAGUUACACUGCCCUACUGAUAAAAUCAGUCAUGAGCUAGAGUGAAAUCAGUGCUGCUACUCU
This 2085-nucleotide long non-coding RNA is filed under the name Sus scrofa (pig). RNAcentral describes it as "lncRNA (ENSSSCG00005044412.1)". Lineage: Eukaryota; Metazoa; Chordata; Mammalia; Artiodactyla; Suidae. The record is from RNAcentral.